GUACACGCUGUGACUAGCAUAUCAAUAAGCGGAGGAAAAGAAACUAACAAGGAUUCCCCUAGUAACGGCGAGUGAAGCGGGAAGAGCUCAAAUUUGAAAUCUUAAAGGGUUUCCCUUUACGAAUUGUAGUUUAAAGAAGUGUUUUCUGUUGAGGUUUUGGUAAAAGUUCUUUGGAAUAGGACAUCAUAGAGGGUGAGAAUCCCGUAUUUGACCUUUACUUUCAACUUUGUGAUACACUUUCAAAGAGUCGGAUUGUUUGGGAAUGCAGUCCAAAAUGGGUGGUAAAUUUUCAUCUAAAGCUAAAUAUUGGCGAGAGACCGAUAGCGAACAAGUACCGUGAGGGAAAGAUGAAAAGAACUUUGAAAAGAGAGUUAAACAGUACGUGAAAUUGUCAAAAGGGAAGCGUUUGACACCAGUGUUGUUUUUCUGAAAAUCAAUUAAAGAACUGUUUAUGCUAAGUUGUUUAGACUUUAUCAGCUAAUCUGUUUAGUUUUGAGCUUUUCUUUAAUGCACUUUUCAGUUAACAAGUCAACAUCAAUUUCUUCUGCUGUAAAAAAGCUUGAGGAAGGUGGCUUGAGAUUCGUCUUAAGUGUUUAUAGCCUCUUGCCUAUGCAGUCGGAGAGAUUGAGGUCUGCAGCGUAGAUCCUUCGGGGCUAAAUGCAUUUGUGCUAAGUUAUAGCAUUUUAUAGACAACUUGUUGACUAUGAUUUGUCUUGUAGCUUACUCGCUUAUGUUAUUUUACCUACGCUUAGGAUGUUGAAUCGUAGAGCACGCAG
Molecule: ribosomal RNA, 776 nt
Filed under: uncultured Neocallimastigales
Lineage: Eukaryota; Fungi; Neocallimastigomycota; Neocallimastigomycetes; Neocallimastigales
Description: partial large subunit ribosomal RNA
Rfam family: Eukaryotic large subunit ribosomal RNA
Source: RNAcentral